RNAcentral lists this ribosomal RNA (292 nucleotides) under Escherichia coli. RNAcentral describes it as "partial 23S ribosomal RNA". It matches the Rfam family "Bacterial large subunit ribosomal RNA", at positions 1088 to 1378 of the family's 2925-position model. Lineage: Bacteria; Pseudomonadati; Pseudomonadota; Gammaproteobacteria; Enterobacterales; Enterobacteriaceae. The record is from RNAcentral.
GACAGCCAGGAUGUUGGCUUAGAAGCAGCCAUCAUUUAAAGAAAGCGUAAUAGCUCACUGGUCGAGUCGGCCUGCGCGGAAGAUGUAACGGGGCUAAACCAUGCACCGAAGCUGCGGCAGCGACGCUUAUGCGUUGUUGGGUAGGGGAGCGUUCUGUAAGCCUGUGAAGGUGUGCUGUGAGGCAUGCUGGAGGUAUCAGAAGUGCGAAUGCUGACAUAAGUAACGAUAAAGCGGGUGAAAAGCCCGCUCGCCGGAAGACCAAGGGUUCCUGUCCAACGUUAAUCGGGGCAGG